GCCGAUUUAGGUCUGAUUGAGCUAACUCGAGUUCAAUAAUUAGAACUUUUUCUAAUACAUGAUCAAAUUAAACUCUUUAAUUAGAUCAAACUUACAAGACAAGAUUGACAUCUAGCAACAUAUCAUGUCUAUCCGAAAGAAAUAAAAUUUUGAUAGAAAUAUCAAAAAUAUCCUUCUGUGGUAAGUUACCGUGCAAUUCAAUCCUGCGAUCUCACUACAUCCCGAGUAUGAUUAUGGAUAUGAAAUCAUGUCAAAUCUAAUUUCAUAUUCAUACCUCUCUCAAUCUUAUAAUGAUGAUUCG
This 301-nucleotide long non-coding RNA is filed under the name Elaeis guineensis (African oil palm). RNAcentral's name for it is "long non-coding RNA (EGUI_LNC046646)". The record is from RNAcentral. Lineage: Eukaryota; Viridiplantae; Streptophyta; Magnoliopsida; Arecales; Arecaceae.